GGCGAACGGGUGAGUAAUACGUGAGUAACCUGCCCCUGACUCUGGGAUAAGCGUUGGAAACGACGUCUAAUACCGGAUAUGACUUACGGACGCAUGUUCUGUGGGUGGAAAGAUUUUCGGUUGGGGAUGGACUCGCGGCCUAUCAGCUUGUUGGUGAGGUAAUGGCUCACCAAGGCGACGACGGGUAGCCGGCCUGAGAGGGUGACCGGCCACACUGGGACUGAGACACGGCCCAG
Molecule: ribosomal RNA, 236 nt
Filed under: uncultured Actinomycetales bacterium
Lineage: Bacteria; Bacillati; Actinomycetota; Actinomycetes; Actinomycetales
Description: partial 16S ribosomal RNA
Rfam family: Bacterial small subunit ribosomal RNA
Source: RNAcentral